Molecule: long non-coding RNA, 1085 nt
Filed under: Gallus gallus (chicken)
Lineage: Eukaryota; Metazoa; Chordata; Aves; Galliformes; Phasianidae
Description: long non-coding RNA NONGGAT003468
Source: RNAcentral
GGGGAGCGGUGGAUGCAUUCCCUUCUCUGUGCUUUCGUAGGGCGUUGAGAUGUGCUGCCACCCGCAGUUCCUGCCCUCACCUUCCCUGCCGGCUGUACGUUCCCACCUCACAGCUCUGCCAGUGCAGCUGUUUUCAUGGAAAACCACUGGAAAACGUCUGGAUAACGGCAUAGAGAAUUCUAUUCCAGCUCUGCUCAAUUCUGUGGGAGGCUGCAGUUUGCUAAAUAUAUUAGGAAACACCAGGUGUUUGACUUCUUAUCUGAUGGUUUAACAAAUGAGCAUCCUUCCUUCGCUGAUCCUGUUCUCUCUCCAGAUGGACUGUAGGUAGGAGCCAGUCAUGAUCUAUUUGGAACCCAGAGGCUCAGUUUCCCUGGUGACACAUGGAGUUUGCAAGCUAGCUGCAGAAAUAGCACACUUCUGUGCCCAGGUUUUUCAUAGAUUUGAAAAGCUGGAGAUUUUUGUCGAGAGCCCAGGCUGCUAGGAGAAUUCAAUCCCAGCAGCAGGAAAGUAUGGCCUUUCUGUGUAGUGUUUCACAGACUUCAAAUAAACAAGCCAGAUGGUAAAAGUGCAAUGGUAAAAGUAAUCAUUUUUAGACUCCUGCCAGACCAUUGUUUAAAAAAAAAAAAGAAAAGCUGCCUUUUGACUGAGAGUCUGCUGGCUGAUUUGUUGUUGUUGUUCUUUUUCGCCUUCCCCAUUCCUCCUUUUGUACCCCAUCUUCCCUUGUUUACAAAGCUGCAGGUGUUGGAGGGUUUCAUCAGGUUUCUUUUGCGACUGCUAGCAGUUGGGAAUAUUAUUGCAAGAGUUCCCUCUGGUGGUCAGUAAUGGGGAAAUGAAUAACAGUUCUGCUGUAAGAAGCUUUUUUUUAUGCUGGAAGGAUUUAUUGUUCAGUCACUCUGUCCAUUAUUUUUAACAGCCUUUCUUAAGGCUUCUCUAGAUAAUGACUGGUAACCUUUUCCAGAUUCCUUUUUUCUCCCAUAAUUAACUCUCCACUCCUCAGUAAUUUACUACCAUUGAUUCAUCCUUUCUGCACCAAGGCUGCAAUAAAGGUGGAGCUUUUCUGCCCCAACCUGCAUUUCUUCACUGAC